Molecule: ribosomal RNA, 465 nt
Filed under: uncultured bacterium
Lineage: Bacteria
Description: partial 16S ribosomal RNA
Rfam family: Bacterial small subunit ribosomal RNA
Source: RNAcentral
GACGAACGCUGGCGGCGUGCUUAACACAUGCAAGUCGAACGGAAAGGCCCUGCUUGCAGGGUACUCGAGUGGCGAACGGGUGAGUAACACGUGGGUGAUCUGCCCUGCACUUCGGGAUAAGCCUGGGAAACUGGGUCUAAUACCGGAUAGGAGCCAUUUUUAGUGUGAUGGUUGGAAAGUUUUUUCGGUGUAGGAUGAGCUCGCGGCCUAUCAGCUUGUUGGUGGGGGAAUGGCCUACCAAGGCGGCGACGGGUAGCCGGCCUGAGAGGGUGGACGGCCAAAUUGGGACUGAGAUACGGCCCAGACUCCUACGGGAGGCAGCAGUGGGGAAUAUUGCACAAUGGGCGCAAGCCUGAUGCAGCGACGCCGCGUGGGGGAUGACGGCCUUCGGGUUGUAAACUCCUUUCGCUAGGGACGAAGCUUUUUGUGACGGUACCUAGAUAAGAAGCACCGGCUAACUACGUG